GCAAUCAUCAUCUACGUGGAAUUUUGAACUGCAGUUCAUGGGAAUUGAUAGGCACUUAUAUAAGGACCCAGAUUAUGGAAUCUUGGCCAUUCUUUGCAACACCAAAGUAUAUAGUUGUAAAUAUCAAUAUCUGUUAUUGCUUCCUGCAGCAUGGAGUGAAGAGAUUCAACUCUCCUUUUUCAGCUGGUCACUGGACAUGUUUGGAAGGGAAUUACCUUUGGUUGAUUCAAGAGUCCAGUUGAAACUCCACUGAAGUACCAUGGCUUGUUGAAAACUACAUGAAGAAGGAUAUUACACUUUGUAGAAACCAAAUCUGUUAAGGGAUCGGAUGAUUACUUUAUGUAUCAGAUCUUCAAGAUACAACAGUCUUAGUCGCUCAUUUUAUCUAUUGAUGAGGUAAUGUUGUUCAUGAUGCUGAACAGUAAAACUAGGAUGGGUCAUGGCGUUUGUAUUGGACAGUCAUUCCUCCUGCUUUUCAAAGAAAGCCAUCUCCAGGCCUCCAACUGAAAAAGGUUUCUGUCAGGUGUGCGUCGGACUGCCACUUAAUGUGUUGGCCAUUUUUUUGUUUUUAAGCGUUCACUUAAUAUGAUGUCAUUGUUGUAUUUUUAGAA
Molecule: long non-coding RNA, 611 nt
Organism: Papaver somniferum (opium poppy)
Lineage: Eukaryota; Viridiplantae; Streptophyta; Magnoliopsida; Ranunculales; Papaveraceae
Exons: 3
Source: RefSeq, a predicted model, not a curated record